AUCGCUUCUCGGCCUUUUGGCUAAGAUCAAGUGUAGUAUCUGUUCUUAUAUCUGAUAUGUCCCCUAUCUGGGGACCAUAUAUUAAGUUGAUUUUUGUACCUGGGAGAUGGAAUAGGGGCUUGCUCUAUCCACUCCACGCAUCGACCUGGUAUUGCAGUACCUCCAGGAAUGGUGCAUCUCUU
Molecule: small nuclear RNA, 182 nt
Organism: Phycodurus eques (leafy seadragon)
Lineage: Eukaryota; Metazoa; Chordata; Actinopteri; Syngnathiformes; Syngnathidae
Product: U2 spliceosomal RNA
Exons: 1
Source: RefSeq, a predicted model, not a curated record